UAGGGAAUAUUGCUCAAUGGGGGAAACCCUGAAGCAGCAACGCCGCGUGAGUGAUGAAGGCCUUCGGGUCGUAAAGCUCUGUUGUACGAGACGAAUGAGGGUAUGGUAAAUAAUCAUAUCCAGUGACGGUAUCGUAUAAGAAAGGACCGGCUAACUUCGUGCCAGCAGCCGCGGUAAGACGGGGGGUCCUGGCGUUGUUCGGAAUCAUUGGGCGUAAAGCGUGUGCAGGUGGUUUUAAAAGUUGGAUGUGAAAUCCUUGGGCUUAACCCAAGAAGUGCAUUCAAAACUGUAAAACUUGAGUAAGGAAGAGGGUCGUGGAAUUCCAGGUGUAGUGGUGAAAUACGUAGAUAUCUGGAGGAACACCGGUGGCGAAGGCGGCGACCUGGUCCUAUACUGACACUCAUACACGAAAGCGUGGGUAGCAAACAGGAUUAGAUACCCCCGUAGUCC
Molecule: ribosomal RNA, 450 nt
Filed under: uncultured bacterium
Lineage: Bacteria
Description: bacterial SSU rRNA
Rfam family: Bacterial small subunit ribosomal RNA
Source: RNAcentral